CCUACGGGGGCAGCAGUGAGGAAUAUUGGUCAAUGGGCGGAAGCCUGAACCAGCCAAGUAGCGUGCAGGAUGACGGCCCUACGGGUUGUAAACUGCUUUUAUACGGGAAUAACGCGCCUUACGUGUAGGGCUUUGCAUGUACCGUAUGAAUAAGGACCGGCUAAUUCCGUGCCAGCAGCCGCGGUAAUACGGAAGGUCCGGGCGUUAGCCGGAUUUAUUGGGGUUAAAGGGAGCGUAGGCCGCAUGUCAAGCGUGCUGUGAAAUGUCCGGGCUCAACCCGGGCCUUGCAGCGCGAACUGGCGUGCUUGAGUCCGCGGAAAGCAGGCGGAAUUCGUCGUGUAGCGGUGAAAUGCUUAGAUAUGACGAAGAACCCCGAGUGCGAAGGCAGCUUGCUGCAGCGGAACUGACGCUGAUGCUCGAAAGCGCGGGUAUCGAACAGGAUUAGAUACCCCGGUAGUC
Molecule: ribosomal RNA, 459 nt
Filed under: uncultured bacterium
Lineage: Bacteria
Description: partial 16S ribosomal RNA
Rfam family: Bacterial small subunit ribosomal RNA
Source: RNAcentral